RNAcentral lists this ribosomal RNA (253 nucleotides) under uncultured bacterium. Its description in RNAcentral is "partial 16S ribosomal RNA". It matches the Rfam family "Bacterial small subunit ribosomal RNA", at positions 524 to 776 of the family's 1533-position model. The record is from RNAcentral.
UACGUAGGGGUCAAGCGUUGUCCGGAUUUAUUGGGCGUAAAGAGCGUGUAGGCGGCCAUACAGGUCAGCUGUGAAAACUCGAGGCUCAACCUCGAGACGUCGGUUGAAACCGUAUGGCUAGAGUCCGGAAGAGGAGAGUGGAAUUCCCGGUGUAGCGGUGAAAUGCGCAGAUAUCGGGAAGAACACCCGUGGCGAAGGCGGCUCUCUGGGACGGUACUGACGCUGAGACGCGAAAGCGUGGGGAGCGAACAGG